GGUAGCACAAAGGAGCUUGCUCCUCGGGUGACGAGUGGCGGACGGGUGAGUAAUGUCUGGGGAUCUGCCCGAUGGAGGGGGAUAACCACUGGAAACGGUGGCUAAUACCGCAUAACGUCGCAAGACCAAAGUGGGGGACCUUCGGGCCUCACACCAUCGGAUGAACCCAGAUGGGAUUAGCUAGUAGGUGGGGUAACGGCUCACCUAGGCGACGAUCCCUAGCUGGUCUGAGAGGAUGACCAGCCACACUGGAACUGAGACACGGUCCAGACUCCUACGGGAGGCAGCAGUGGGGAAUAUUGCACAAUGGGCGCAAGCCUGAUGCAGCCAUGCCGCGUGUAUGAAGAAGGCCUUCGGGUUGUAAAGUACUUUCAGCGGGGAGGAAGGGGACGAGGUUAAUAACCUCGUUCAUUGACGUUACCCGCAGAAGAAGCACCGGCUAACUCCGUGCCAGCAGCCGCGGUAAUACGGAGGGUGCAAGCGUUAAUCGGAAUUACUGGGCGUAAAGCGCACGCAGGCGGUCUGUUAAGUCAGAUGUGAAAUCCCCGGGCUUAACCUGGGAACUGCAUUUGAAACUGGCAGGCUUGAGUCUUGUAGAGGGGGGUAGAAUUCCAGGUGUAGCGGUGAAAUGCGUAGAGAUCUGGAGGAAUACCGGUGGCGAAGGCGGCCCCCUGGACAAAGACUGACGCUCAGGUGCG
This 698-nucleotide ribosomal RNA is filed under the name Pantoea sp. W5-PCAi-E14. RNAcentral describes it as "bacterial SSU rRNA". It matches the Rfam family "Bacterial small subunit ribosomal RNA", at positions 68 to 755 of the family's 1533-position model. Lineage: Bacteria; Pseudomonadati; Pseudomonadota; Gammaproteobacteria; Enterobacterales; Erwiniaceae. The record is from RNAcentral.